GCAGGAGCUGCUGCAGCAGCUUGUGUUUCGUCUUGGAUGGUGCUGCUGCUGAUGGAGGGUGCUUUCCUGCAGCCAGGGGGAUGCAGUGCUUCGUUCCUGUCCCGAGCAUCCCGAGGCAGAGGCUGAUCUCCCAGGAGUUGCAUGGGCCAGGUUUGAAGAACAGCAAAUGGCUGAAGAAUGUGCAAUUUGUGCUGAACAGACACAGAAAGAAGCUCAAUAAUCACAACCAGAAGGACCCUCAGACUCUGAAUCCUAAAGCAUUGUGGCUGCCUGUGCCCACACUUCAAGCUGUGCAUAUGUGGGGCUUGAAGGAUGUGCAGGCAUUCACCUGCUGCUGCUGAAUUUACCACUGAAUUCAUGGAAGGAUCAGGACACUUGAACAAAAAACCUUUUCCACCCUCAGAAGUCACCCAGAUAUACCAGGAGAGAAGGCUUUUAGAGACAGUACAUCCAAGUUUUAGGUCACAAAGCUCUCUUUUAGCAGCAGCAAAGGCACCUCUCAGCCAGAGAGGAAAUCCCAAUUUUGUGGUGUUUCCUGCAAUUGUAAGUUACCAUGUUCCCAGCUCCUGGGGUCAAGAGCCUGCAGUGUGGAAUUGAAGGCACAGGGGAAGGGACCUGAGACACAGAGGGGUGUGGGCAGAAAUGAGCCUCAGCUUGAGAGCUUAGGAGUCAUCUUGGGUCAUUUGAGCCUUCUUGUAACUGGGGAUUCUCUGAGUAAAAACUGACCAAGACUCUUAGCUGAGUUACUAAACCUUCUGUGGAAACCAUUCUCUUCACUUAAAAUUCUCACCUUUUACAUUUGUGCUGUGUAAAUGGAAAAGGACAAAUUUAAUCUCCUAUUUUAGUAAUUCUGCAAGACUUAAGACUUGAACAGACACCCAUGCCUGUGCAUAUGCCAUAAACAUUCUUCUUAGCUCUCAAAAACGUCUUUUUAGAGACCAGCUUUUGAAAAAGGGUUUAAAACUCUUGUGUCUCCAACUGCCUCCAGAUCAGAUCCAUGACAUCUGAUUUCUCUCUGCUUACAGAGGCAGAAAAGAAAACUUAUGUUCAGUUUUAGCAAAUUAAUUGUUCCAUGUUGUUUUUUUAAGGUUGAGUUAAAUAAAUAAUGUAUCAGAUGUAGGGGGGACAUAAUUUUUAAAGGGAAUUGAGGAGUACAGCUGCACAGCAGUGAGACAGGGAUGUUUGUUGAUGUUGUUUUCAACAGGAAACAACUCCAUUCAGUGCGUAAGAGUCUAAGCAGACACUGACUGUAAUGGACUGCAGUUACUGGGGGAUAAACUUGUGGUUACCAUAGAGACCCCUUGGCUGUAGUGAAUUAACAUUCCCUAAAUCAGGAGUGCAUCACAGAGUGUGUUAAGACCAGUGCUGCUGUGCUUCCUUUCUGUGUUAUAAUUUCUUAGAUGAACCAGUGGACAGGCAAAGUUCAAGGUUCACAGGAGAGCUGAGCAGUUGCACCAAGUCACCACAUUAAUUAUCAGUAUUUUGCUCAGCAGCACUCUCCAAUUUAGACUUUAAUUGGUACCUCAGGUGAUGCUGUUACUGGGGUUUUGUUACUCUGGGGUGGGUAGGCAACACAAUAAAAACCCGCUGAAAGAAACCUGCAAACCAAAUUUGUGAAAUAACAAUCCAGGCUGCUUCCAUGGAAUCAGUAAAUCAAUCUGACAGAAAUCACUAUGCACAAUGCACUCAGAACUAGGGACACGUUCCUACAAAAGUAUUUGAGUCUGAUUCAUUACAUUGGUCUUAUGAGGGAUGGCUUUGGUCUGUAAAUUCACCUUAUUUGUGCUCAAUGCUGUACAUGGAGUGAAAAACCCAGCAGAGAUUUUAGGAACACACAACAGAGCUACAGCAUUAAAAGAAUAUGAAUAAAGUCACAUGCACUUAUAAUAAUAAAUUUUAUGAAAAGGAGAAAUUAAUUUACAAUUAAGAUUGUCAAAAGAUCCUCCCCACCUAAAAAGAAAAAACACCAAAAAGGAAAAAAAAAAAAAAACACAAAAAACCCAGAAGAAAAUGAUACAUUUUUUUGGGACUAGAGGUGUGAGCAACUGGUGCAGUUAUUAUGUCAGGCCACAUACGAAAAUAUUUCAGAGAGUGUAAACAUAAGCUCAUAUGCACUACAGCUCGGGGUUUGUUACUGCACUGUGUGACAUUAAAAGGUGAAACGCACACUCAGGAGACAAAUGUGCUAAGUGUUAUGGUUUUCCCAGUGUGCAGAGCUGAGAAAAUACGUCAAGUUAGCUAAAUUCUGCACGUUCUGCCUGGCUUCUGUUUUACAAUGCCACCUUACGCUGGCUGGGAUGGGAUAACAAAUGCAGUAUAUUCAGACAACUUUAAAAAUUUGGUUUUAUUUUUUUCUGUUCAGUUUCUUGCACAGGUACAGGUAUAUGUCUGUUCCUCUUCUGCUGUGAAUGCACAAGGAACCCCCUGGGAACAGACAUGGAGCAGAGUUAGUAUUGGAUGUACAAAGUCACCUCCUGUACCAAGAGAUCUUUCCUUCAGCAUUGUUUGCACCUACCUCACACAGGUGUAAAUAGCUACAAAAUCCAUUGGAACGUUACAGACCAACAGAGAUCAAAAUGAGGAAUAAGUCUGGGGAGGAAAAUACUUGGAGGAAAAAAGGAGAUGCAGGAAAACUAUGGUAUUGAAGGGUGGUGGUGAGAUUUAGCUGUGACACUGCACUGCUCUCUACUUUGAUGGCAAGGAACCAUUUUUUCUGAGGAUGAGGAGUAUUUUUUUUUGAACCAGGUUUGUUCCCAAGCUGUGGUGACACAUUGUCACUUGGUUACUCUGCAGCACUUUCUGUCCAGGAGAUACUGGAUGUGCACAGCUGCCAGCUUUAGGUAGCAGUAGUGGUUUGUAACCAAAAAUACAACAAGCACUUGGAAAUUUUGAAAUGAGAAAUAAGAAAACACUCUGAAAAGUCUGCCCAGGACCUGUGCCUGUCCCCUUGGUUCCCAGACAAGCAGGGAGGCUGGGUGGACAAUGGCACCCUCAAGAGGACAUGCAAGUAGGACCAUAGUUUAAUAAUCCAUGUUUUGAAACUGAAUCCCUUAAAGCAACGUCUGCGUUGCUGUUUUCUUUUUCUGACAUGUACUAAAAUUUAGAUACUUCAACACUGUUUAACAAAAAGUAGAAUAUAAAAAUAAUAUUAAUAAUAUUGAUAUGAAUUUUUGAAUGUUGCAGUAUAGGUCAGAAGAAUAAAUUUAUUCCAGUCCAGAAAUAAUCUUUGAUUUCUUUCCCUCCUUUCAGAAAAAGAGAAAUAUUUGUGUUUACACUGAAUGUGUUCAGUAAACAGUUUUAUAUGAUAACCAUGUAAAUCCAUUGUGUACUUUAAGAAGGGGGGAAUUAAUUCUUUUGUUGCCUUUGCAACGAGAAGCAGCAUUUUGCUGACAUAUCUGCCUAA
This is a long non-coding RNA of Passer domesticus (house sparrow), 3403 nucleotides long. RefSeq lists it as uncharacterized. Lineage: Eukaryota; Metazoa; Chordata; Aves; Passeriformes; Passeridae. The transcript has 3 exons. The record is from RefSeq and is a predicted model, not a curated record.